Molecule: long non-coding RNA, 876 nt
Filed under: Homo sapiens (human)
Lineage: Eukaryota; Metazoa; Chordata; Mammalia; Primates; Hominidae
Description: HSALNT0385259
Source: RNAcentral
AAACCUCACCAGUACCUGCACAGGAGAAACACCACGGAUCACAGCGCGAUCUGAAUGGCAAGAGCCUUGCCCUCACCCCACACCUUCCCAGCCUGCUUCCCCUGGGACACAGCCGUUGCUCACUUCCUAUCUGGACCCCAGAGGCCUCAGCCUGCAUCCUCACCCAGACAGAGCAGUUCUCAAGGAUCCUCCCUGUGCCCAGAAGUCUCCCUAGCCUGAGUGGUACAUGGGCAUCCCUCGCCUUCCUGAGAUCCCCUAUUGGGCCCUUUGAGCCCCGUUGUCCCCCACACCCCCCAUCCCGCCCCCCAGCCAUGCCCCACGCCUUGCCUGGUGGGUGCGGGGGUCCCCCUCAGCAGGUGGGCUGUGGCUGGGGGGCGUCUCCCGGGACAGGGGGGGCGGCCCCCCCCAGAUGGGUCUGCAUGUGGCCGGCCAGCUGGGCAGGGGUCUUGCAGUGCACGCUGCACAGCUUGCACAGGAUGCGGUCAGCCCGCGGGGCCUGGAGCCCGUGGUCCUUCACCGCGUGGAUGCGCAGAACUCAUUCUCCAUGGCCGGGAGACCUCUCCCAGGAUGACGAGACACUGACUCCUAGCCACUUGCAGGGUUGACCCUCAGCAGAGACGGCUGUGUCCCCUUCCCUCCAGUGCCCCGCGGUCUCAACCCAGUUAACCGGAAUCUAGACGCCACGAGCUCUUGGCUACAGCACCCUUAACCCGUAUCCGUGGCAAGGCGUCUGGCCAGGCGCCCACCCUCUGCCCCUGGCCCUCCCGGCAGCCCUCGGCAUGUACCUUUGUUGCAGAGCUCACAGACAUGGUGAGGACCCUGGCUGUGCACCUUCAUGUGGUCCGAAAUAUAAGCCGAGCUCAGCAUCUUGCCACA